This 434-nucleotide ribosomal RNA is filed under the name uncultured bacterium. RNAcentral describes it as "partial 16S ribosomal RNA". It matches the Rfam family "Bacterial small subunit ribosomal RNA", at positions 29 to 507 of the family's 1533-position model. The record is from RNAcentral.
AGCGAACGCUGGCGGCAGGCCUAACACAUGCAAGUCGAACGAACCUUUCGGGGUUAGUGGCGGACGGGUGAGUAACACGUGGGAACGUGCCUUUAGGUUCGGAAUAACUCAGGGAAACUUGUGCUAAUACCGAAUGUGCCCUUCGGGGGAAAGAUUUAUCGCCUUUAGAGCGGCCCGCGUCUGAUUAGCUAGUUGGGUGAGGUAAUGGCUCACCAAGGCGACGAUCAGUAGCUGGUCUGAGAGGAUGAUCAGCCACAUUGGGACUGAGACACGGCCCAAACUCCUACGGGAGGCAGCGGUGGGGAAUCUUGCGGAAUGGGCGAAAGCCUGACGCAGCCAUGCCGCGUGAAUGAUGAAGGUCUUAGGAUUGUAAAAUUCUUUCACCGGGGACGAUAAUGGCGGUACCCGGAGAAGAAGCCCCGGCUAACUUCGUG